This 533-nucleotide ribosomal RNA is filed under the name uncultured bacterium. Its description in RNAcentral is "bacterial SSU rRNA". It matches the Rfam family "Bacterial small subunit ribosomal RNA", at positions 978 to 1509 of the family's 1533-position model. The record is from RNAcentral.
CCUUUGACAUCCAGCGAACUUUUCCAGAGAUGGAUUGGUGCCUUCGGGAACGCUGAGACAGGUGCUGCAUGGCUGUCGUCAGCUCGUGUUGUGAAAUGUUGGUUAAGUCCCGNAACGAGCGCAACCCUUUAUCCUUUUGUUGCCAGCGAUUCGGUCGGGAACUCAAAGGAGACUGCCGGUGAUAAACCGGAGGAAGGUGGGGAUGACGUCAAGUCAUCAUGGCCCUUACGAGUAGGGCUACACACGUGCUACAAUGGCGCAUACAAAGAGAAGCGACCUCGCGAGAGCAAGCGGACCUCAUAAAGUGCGUCGUAGUCCGGAUCGGAGUCUGCAACUCGACUCCGUGAAGUCGGAAUCGCUAGUAAUCGUGGAUCAGAAUGCCACGGUGAAUACGUUCCCGGGCCUUGUACACACCGCCCGUCACACCAUGGGAGUGGGUUGCAAAAGAAGUAGGUAGCUUAACCUUCGGGAGGGCGCUUACCACUUUGUGAUUCAUGACUGGGGUGAAGUCGUAACAAGGUAGGCGUAGCGAG